This 300-nucleotide ribosomal RNA is filed under the name uncultured Gammaproteobacteria bacterium. RNAcentral describes it as "bacterial SSU rRNA". It matches the Rfam family "Bacterial small subunit ribosomal RNA", at positions 114 to 421 of the family's 1533-position model. Lineage: Bacteria; Pseudomonadati; Pseudomonadota; Gammaproteobacteria. The record is from RNAcentral.
UGCUUGGGAAUUUGCCUUUAGGUGGGGACGAACAGUUGGAACGACUGCUAAUACCGCAUAUUGUCUACGGACUAAAGAGGGCUUCGGCUCUCGCCUUUAGUAGAAGCCCAAGUGGGAGUUAGGUAGUUGGUGAGGUAAAGGCUCACCAAGCCGACGAUCCCUAGCUGGUCUGAGAGGAUGAUCAGCCACACUGGAACUGAGACACGGUCCAGACUCCUACGGGAGGCAGCAGUGGGGAAUAUUGCACAAUGGGGGAAACCCCUGACGCAGCAACGCCGCGUGGGUGAAGAAGCAUCUUGG